AAACCCCAAAUAUUGUUUUUUAAUUUUUCAUUUUUUUUUGGUCUAACUAACUCCAAAAGGUUGGAAAAGAGUUCCUACAAAGGUUUUGGACAGUGAUUUUAACCCUAACGCCAAAAACCUUAAACCUUACCAUAGCCCCAUAACCUAAUACCCGGGUAUUACUUUUAGGAAGCCUGAACACCCCAAAUAUAUUUUUUUUCAUUUUUCUUUUUUUUUUGGUCUAACCAACUCCAAAAGGUUGUUAAAGAGUUCCUACAAAGGUUUUGGACAGUGAUUUUAACCCUAAUGCCAAAAACCUUAAACCUUACCAUAGCCCCAUAACCUAAUACCCAGGUAUUACUUUUAGGAAGCCUGAACACCCCAAAUAUUUUUUUUUCAUUUUUCUUUUUUUUUGGUCUAACUAACUCCAAAAGGUUGGAAAAGAGUUCCUACAAAGGUUUUGGACAGUGAUUUUAACCCUAACGCCAAAAAACUUAAACCUUACCCUGGCCUUAAAAUCUAAUACCCGGGUAUUACAUUCAGGAAGCCCGAAAACCCCAAAUAUUUUUUUUUUCAUUUUUCAUUUUUUUUGGUCUAACUAAAUCCAAAAGGUUGAAAAAGAGUUCCUACAAAGGUUUUGGACAGUGAUUUCAACCCUAACGCCAAAAACCUUAAACCUUACCCUAGCCCCAUAACCUAAUACCCGGGUAUUACUUUUAGGAAGCCUGAACACCCCAAAUAUUUUUUUUUUCAUUUUUCUUUUUUUUUUGGUCUAACUAACUCCAAAAGGUUGGAAAAGAGUUCCUACAAAGGUUUUGGACAGUGAUUUUAACCCUAACACAAAAAACCUUAAACCUUACCCUAGCCUUGAAAUCUAAUACCCGGGUAUUACCUUCAGGAAGCCUGAACACCCCAAAUAUUUUUUUCUUCAUUUUACAUUUUUGUUGGUGUAACCAACUCCAAAAGGUUGGAAAAGAGUUCCUACAAAGGUUUUGGACAGUGAUUUUAACCCUAAUGCCAAAAAACUUAAACCUUACCCUAGCCUCAAAAUCUAAUACCCGGGUAUUACAUUCAGGAAGUCCGAACACCCCAAAUAUUUUUUUUUUUUCAUUUUACAUUUUUUUUGGUGUAACCAACUCCAAAAGGUUGGAAAAGAGUUCCUACAAAGGUUUUGGACAGUGAUUUUAACCCUAACGCCAAAAACCUUAAACCUUACCAUAGCCCCAUAACCUAAUACCCAGGUAUUACUUUUAGGAAGCCUGAACACCCCAUAUAUUUUUUUUUCAUUUUUCUUUUUUUUUUGGUCUAACUAAAUCCAAAAGGUUGUUAAAGAGUUCCUACAAAGGUUUUGGACAGUGAUUUUAAACCUAACGCCAAAACGUUAAACCUUACCAUAGCCCCAUAACCUAAUACCCGGGUAUUACUUUUAGGAAGCCUGAACACCCCAAAUAUUUUUUUUUCAUUUUUCUUUUUUUUUUGGUCUAACUAACUCCAAAAGGUUGGAAAAGAGUUCCUACAAAGGUUUUGGACAGUGAUUUUAACCCUAACGCCAAAACCCUUAAACCUUUCCCUAGUCCCAAAACCUAAUACACGGGUAUUACUUUCAGGGAGCCCGAAAACCCCCAAUAAUAUUUUUUUCUUUUUUCAUAUUUUUUGGUCUAACUAACUCCAAAAGGUUGGAAAAGAGUUCCUACAAAGGUUUUGGACAGUGAUUUUAACCCUAACGCCAAAAACCUUAAACCUUACCCUAGCCUUGAAAUCUAAUACCUGGGUAUGACAUUCAGGAAGCCCGUAAACCCCAAAUAUUUUUUUUUCAUUUUACAUUUUUGUUGGUGUAACCAACUCCAAAAGGUUGGAAAAGAGUUCCUACAAAGGUUUUGGACAGUGAUUUUAACCCUAAUGCCAAAAAACUUAAACCUUACCCUAGCCUCAAAAUCUAAUACCCGGGUAUUACAUUCAGGAACCCCGAAAACCCCAAAUAUUGUUUUUUAAUUUUUCAUUUUUUUUUGGUCUAACUAACUCCAAAAGGUUGGAAAAGAGUUCCUACAAAGGUUUUGGACAGUGAUUUUAACCCUAACGCCAAAAAACUUAAACCUUACCAUAGCCCCAUAACCUAAUACCCGGGUAUUACUUUUAGGAAGCCUGAACACCCCAAAUAUAUUUUUUUUCAUUUUUCUUUUUUUUUUGGUCUAACCAACUCCAAAAGGUUGUUAAAGAGUUCCUACAAAGGUUUUGGACAGUGAUUUUAACCCUAAUGCCAAAAACCUUAAACCUUACCAUAGCCCCAUAACCUAAUACCCAGGUAUUACUUUUAGGAAGCCUGAACACCCCAAAUAUUUUUUUUUCAUUUUUCUUUUUUUUUUGGUCUAACUAACUCCAAAAGGUUGGAAAAGAGUUCCUACAAAGGUUUUGGACAGUGAUUUUAACCCUAACGCCAAAAAACUUAAACCUUACCCUGGCCUUAAAAUCUAAUACCCGGGUAUUACAUUCAGGAAGCCCGUAAACCCCAAAUAUUUUUUUUUUCAUUUUUCAUUCUUUUUUUGGUCUAACUAACUCCAAAAGGUUGAAAAAGAGUUCCUACAAAGGUUUUGGACAGUGAUUUCAACCCUAACGCCAAAAACCUUAAACCUUACCCUAGCCCCAUAACCUAAUACCCGGGUAUUACUUUUAGGAAGCCUGAACACCCCAAAUAUUUUUUUUUCAUUUUUCUUUUUUUUUUUGGUCUAACUAACUCCAAAAGGUUGGAAAAGAGUUCCUACAAAGGUUUUGGACAGUGAUUUUAACCCUAACGCCAAAAACCUUAAACCUUUCCCUAGUCCCAAAACCUAAUACACGGGUAUUACUUUCAGGGAGCCCGAAAACCCCCAAUAAAAUUUUUUUCUUUUUUCAUAUUUUUUGGUCUAACUAACUCCAAAAGGUUGGAAAAGAGUUCCUACAAAGGUUUUGGACAGUGAUUUUAACCCUAACACCAAAAACCUUAAACCUUACCCUAGCCUCAAAAUCUAAUACCCGGGUAUUACAUUCAGGAAGUCCGAACACCCCAAAUAUUUUUUUUUUUCAUUUUACAUUUUUUUUGGUGUAACCAACUCCAAAAGGUUGGAAAAGAGUUCCUACAAAGGUUUUGGACAGUGAUUUUAACCCUAACGCCAAAAACCUUAAACCUUACCAUAGCCCCAUAACCUAAUACCCAGGUAUUACUUUUAGGAAGCCUGAACACCCCAUAUAUUUUUUUUUUCAUUUUUCUUUUUUUUUUGGUCUAACUAAAUCCAAAAGGUUGUUAAAGAGUUCCUACAAAGGUUUUGGACAGUGAUUUUAAACCUAACGCCAAAACGUUAAACCUUACCAUAGCCCCAUAACCUAAUACCCGGGUAUUACUUUUAGGAAGCCUGAACACCCCAAAUAUUUUUUUUUUCAUUUUUCUUUUUUUUUUGGUCUAACUAACUCCAAAAGGUUGGAAAAGUGUUCCUACAAAGGUUUUGGACAGUGAUUUUAACCCUAACGCCAAAACCCUUAAACCUUUCCCUAGUCCCAAAACCUAAUACACGGGUAUUACUUUCAGGGAGCCCGAAAACCCCCAAUAAUAUUUUUUUCUUUUUUCAUAUUUUUUGGUCUAACUAACUCCAAAAGGUUGGAAAAGAGUUCCUACAAAGGUUUUGGACAGUGAUUUUAACCCUAAUGCCAAAAAACUUAAACCUUACCCUGGCCUUAAAAUCUAAUACCCGGGUAUUACAUUAAGGAAGCCCGGAAACCCCAAAUAUUUUUUUUUCAUUUUUCAUUUUUUUUUGGUCGAACUAACUCCAAAAGGUUGAAAAAGAGUUCCUACAAAGGUUUUGGACAGUGAUUUUAACCCUAACGCCAAAAACCUUAAACCUUACCAUAGCCCCAUAACCUAAUACACGGGUAUUACUUUUAGGAAGCCUGAACACCCCAAAUAUUUUUUUUUCAUUUUUCUUUUUUUUUGGUCUAACCAACUCCAAAAGGUUGGAAAAGAGUUCCUACAAAGGUUUUGGACAGUGAUUUUAACCCUAAUGCCAAAAAACUGAAACCUUACCCUGGCCUUAAAAUGUAAUACCCGGGUAUUACAUUCAGGAAGCCCGAACACCCCAAGUUUUUUUUUUUUUCAUUUUACAUUUUUUUUGGUGUAACCAACUCCAAAAGGUUGGAAAAGAGUUCCUACAAAGGUUUUGGACAGUGAUUUUAACCCUAACGCCAAAAACCUUAAACCUUUCCCUAGUCCCAAAACCUAAUACCCGGGUAUUACCUUCAGGAAGCCCGAACACCCCAAAUAUUUUUUUUUCAUUUUACAUUUUUGUUGGUGUAACCAACUCCAAAAGGUUGGAAAAGAGUUCCUACAAAGGUUUUGGACAGUGAUUUUAACCCUAACGCCAAAAACCUUAAACCUUACCCUAGCCUUAAAAUCUAAUACCCGGGUAUUACCUUCAGGAAGCCCGAACACCCAUAAUAUUUUUUUCUUUAUUUUACAUUUUUGUUGGUGUAACCAACUCCAAAAGGUUGGAAAAGAGUUCCUACAAAGGUUUUGGACAGUGAUUUUAACCCUAACGCCAAAAACCUUAAAACUUACCAUAGCCCCAUAACCUAAUUCCCGGGUAUUACCUUCAGGAAGCCCGAACACCCCAAAUAUUUUUUUUUCAUUUUUCAUUUUUUUUUGGUCUAACUAACUCCAAAAGGUUGGAAAAGAGUUCCUACAAAGGUUUUGGACAGUGAUUUUAACCCUAACGCCAAAACGUUAAACCUUACCAUAGCCCCAUAACCUAAUACCCGGGUAUUACUUUUAGGAAGCCUGAACACCCCAAAUAUUUUUUUUUUCAUUUUUCUUUUUUUUUGGUCUAACUAACUCCAAAAGGUUGGAAAAGAGUUCCUACAAAGGUUUUGGACAGUGAUUUUAACCCUAACACAAAAAACCUUAAACCUUACCCUAGCCUUGAAAUCUAAUACCCGGGUAUUACCUUCAGGAAGCCUGAACACCCCAAAUAUUUUUUUCUUCAUUUUACAUUUUUGUUGGUGUAACCAACUCCAAAAGGUUGGAAAAGAGUUCCUACAAAGGUUUUGGACAGUGAUUUUAACCCUAAUGCCAAAAACUUAAACCUUACCCUAGCCUUAAAAUCUAAUACCCGGGUAUUACAUUCAGGAAGCCCGAACACCCCAAAUAUUUUUUUUUUCAUUUUACAUUUUUUUUGGUGUAACCAACUCCAAAAGGUUGGAAAAGAGUUCCUACAAAGGUUUUGGACAGUGAUUUUAACCCUAACGCCAAAAACCUUAAACCUUACCAUAGCCCCAUAACCUAAUACCCAGGUAAUACUUUUAGGAAGCCUGAACACCCCAUAUAUUUUUUUUUCAUUUUUCUUUUUUUUUUUGGUCUAACUAAAUCCAAAAGGUUGUUAAAGAGUUCCUACAAAGGUUUUGGACAGUGAUUUUAAACCUAACGCCAAAACGUUAAACCUUACCAUAGCCCCAUAACCUAAUACCCGGGUAUUACUUUUAGGAAGCCUGAACACCCCAAAUAUUUUUUUUUCAUUUUUCUUUUUUUUUGGUCUAACUAACUCCAAAAGGUUGGAAAAGAGUUCCUACAAAGGUUUUGGACAGUGAUUUUAACCCUAACGCCAAAAACCUUAAACCUUUCCCUAGUCCCAAAACCUAAUACACGGGUAUUACUUUCAGGGAGCCCGAAAACCCCCAAUAAUAUUUUUUUCUUUUUUCAUAUUUUUUGGUCUAACUAACUCCAAAAGGUUGGAAAAGAGUUCCUACAAAGGUUUUGGACAGUGAUUUUAACCCUAACGCCAAAAACCUUAAACCUUACCCUAGCCUUGAAAUCUAAUACCUGGGUAUUACAUUCAGGAAGCCCGAAAACCCCAAAUAUUUUUUUUCAUUUUACAUUUUUGUUGGUGUAACCAACUCCAAAAGGUUGGAAAAGAGUUCCUACAAAGGUUUUGGACAGUGAUUUUAACCCUAACGCCAAAAAACUUAAACCUUACCCUGGCCUUAAAAUCUAAUACCCGGGUAUUACAUUCAGGAAGCCCGUAAACCCCAAAUAUUUUUUUUUUCAUUUUUCAUUCUUUUUUUGGUCUAACUAACUCCAAAAGGUUGAAAAAGAGUUCCUACAAAGGUUUUGGACAGUGAUUUCAACCCUAACGCCAAAAACCUUAAACCUUACCCUAGCCCCAUAACCUAAUACCCGGGUAUUACUUUUAGGAAGCCUGAACACCCCAAAUAUUUUUUUUUCAUUUUUCUUUUUUUUUGGUCUAACUAACUCCAAAAGGUUGGAAAAGAGUUCCUACAAAGGUUUUGGACAGUGAUUUUAACCCUAACACAAAAAACCUUAAACCUUACCCUAGCCUUGAAAUCUAAUACCCGGGUAUUACCUUCAGGAAGCCUGAACACCCCAAAUAUUUUUUUCUUCAUUUUACAUUUUUGUUGGUGUAACCAACUCCAAAAGGUUGGAAAAGAGUUCCUACAAAGGUUUUGGACAGUGAUUUUAACCCUAAUGCCAAAAAACUUAAACCUUACCCUAGCCUCAAAAUCUAAUACCCGGGUAUUACAUUCAGGAAGUCCGAACACCCCAAAUAUUUUUUUUUUUCAUUUUACAUUUUUUUUGGUCCAACCAACUCCAAAAGGUUGGAAAAGAGUUCCUACAAAGGUUUUGGACAGUGAUUUUAACCCUAACGCCAAAAACCUUAAACCUUACCAUAGCCCCAUAACCUAAUACCCAGGUAUUACUUUUAGGAAGCCUGAACACCCCAUAUAUUUUUUUUUCAUUUUUCUUUUUUUUUUGGUCUAACUAAAUCCAAAAGGUUGUUAAAGAGUUCCUACAAAGGUUUUGGACAGUGAUUUUAAACCUAACGCCAAAAACGUUAAACCUUACCAUAGCCCCAUAACCUAAUACCCGGGUAUUACUUUUAGGAAGCCUGAACACCCCAAAUAUUUUUUUUUCAUUUUUCUUUUUUUUUUGGUCUAACUAACUCCAAAAGGUUGGAAAAGAGUUCCUACAAAGGUUUUGGACAGUGAUUUUAACCCUAACGCCAAAACCCUUAAACCUUUCCCUAGUCCCAAAACCUAAUACACGGGUAUUACUUUCAGGGAGCCCGAAAACCCCCAAUAAUAUUUUUUUCUUUUUUCAUAUUUUUUGGUCUAACUAACUCCAAAAGGUUGGAAAAGAGUUCCUACAAAGGUUUUGGACAGUGAUUUUAACCCUAACGCCAAAAACCUUAAACCUUACCCUAGCCUUAAAUCUAAUACCCGGGUAUUACAUUCAGGAAGCCUGAACACCCCAAAUAUUUUUUUUUCAUUUUACAUUUUUGUUGGUGUAACCAACUCCAAAAGGUUGGAAAAGAGUUCCUACAAAGGUUUUGGACAGUGAUUUUAACCCUAAUGCCAAAAAACUUAAACCUUACCCUAGCCUCAAAAUCUAAUACCCGGGUAUUACAUUCAGGAACCCCGAAAACCCCAAAUAUUGUUUUUUAAUUUUUCAUUUUUUUUGGUCUAACUAACUCCAAAAGGUUGGAAAAGAGUUCCUACAAAGGUUUUGGACAGUGAUUUUAACCCUAACGCCAAAAACCUUAAACCUUACCAUAGCCCCAUAACCUAAUACCCGGGUAUUACUUUUAGGAAGCCUGAACACCCCAAAUAUAUUUUUUUUCAUUUUUCUUUUUUUUUUGGUCUAACCAACUCCAAAAGGUUGUUAAAGAGUUCCUACAAAGGUUUUGGACAGUGAUUUUAACCCUAAUGCCAAAAACCUUAAACCUUACCAUAGCCCCAUAACCUAAUACCCAGGUAUUACUUUUAGGAAGCCUGAACACCCCAAAUAUUUUUUUUUCAUUUUUCUUUUUUUUUUGGUCUAACUAACUCCAAAAGGUUGGAAAAGAGUUCCUACAAAGGUUUUGGACAGUGAUUUUAACCCUAACGCCAAAAAACUUAAACCUUACCCUGGCCUUAAAAUCUAAUACCCGGGUAUUACAUUCAGGAAGCCCGUGAACCCCAAAUAUUUUUUUUUUCAUUUUUCAUUCUUUUUUUGGUCUAACUAACUCCAAAAGGUUGAAAAAGAGUUCCUACAAAGGUUUUGGACAGUGAUUUCAACCCUAACGCCAAAAACCUUAAACCUUACCCUAGCCCCAUAACCUAAUACCCGGGUAUUACUUUUAGGAAGCCUGAACACCCCAUAUAUUUUUUUUCAUUUUUCUUUUUUUUUUUUGGUCUAACUAACUCCAAAAGGUUGGAAAAGAGUUCCUACAAAGGUUUUGGACAGUGAUUUUAACCCUAACGCCAAAAACCUUAAACCUUUCCCUAGUCCCAAAACCUAAUACACGGGUAUUAAUUUCAGGGAGCCCGAAAACCCCCAAUAAAAUUUUUUUCUUUUUUCAUAUUUUUUGGUCUAACUAACUCCAAAAGGUUGGAAAAGAGUUCCUACAAAGGUUUUGGACAGUGAUUUUAACCCUAACACCAAAAACCUUAAACCUUACCCUAGCCUCAAAAUCUAAUACCCGGGUAUUACAUUCAGGAAGUCCGAACACCCCAAAUAUUUUUUUUUUUCAUUUUACAUUUUUUUUGGUGUAACCAACUCCAAAAGGUUGGAAAAGAGUUCCUACAAAGGUUUUGGACAGUGAUUUUAACCCUAACGCCAAAAACCUUAAACCUUACCAUAGCCCCAUAACCUAAUACCCAGGUAUUACUUUUAGGAAGCCUGAACACCCCAUAUAUUUUUUUUUCAUUUUUCUUUUUUUUUUGGUCUAACUAAAUCCAAAAGGUUGUUAAAGAGUUCCUACAAAGGUUUUGGACAGUGAUUUUAAACCUUACGCCAAAACGUUAAACCUUACCAUAGCCCCAUAACCUAAUACCCGGGUAUUACUUUUAGGAAGCCUGAACACCCCAAAUAUUUUUUUUUUCAUUUUUCUUUUUUUUUUGGUCUAACUAACUCCAAAAGGUUGGAAAAGUGUUCCUACAAAGGUUUUGGACAGUGAUUUUAACCCUAACGCCAAAACCCUUAAACCUUUCCCUAGUCCCAAAACCUAAUACACGGGUAUUACUUUCAGGGAGCCCGAAAACCCCCAAUAAUAUUUUUUUCUUUUUUCAUAUUUUUUGGUCUAACUAACUCCAAAAGGUUGGAAAAGAGUUCCUACAAAGGUUUUGGACAGUGAUUUUAACCCUAAUGCCAAAAAACUUAAACCUUACCCUGGCCUUAAAAUCUAAUACCCGGGUAUUACAUUAAGGAAGCCCGAACACCCCAAAUAUUUUUUUCAUUUUUCAUUUUUUUUUGGUCUAACUAACUCCAAAAGGUUGGAAAAGAGUUCCUACAAAGGUUUUGGACAGUGAUUUUAACCCUAACGCCAAAAACCUUAAACCUUACCAUAGCCCCAUAACCUAAUACACGGGUAUUACUUUUAGGAAGCCUGAACACCCCAAAUAUUUUUUUUUCAUUUUUCUUUUUUUUUGGUCUAACCAACUCCAAAAGGUUGGAAAAGAGUUCCUACAAAGGUUUUGGACAGUGAUUUUAACCCUAAUGCCAAAAAACUGAAACCUUACCCUGGCCUUAAAAUGUAAUACCCGGGUAUUACAUUCAGGAAGCCCGAACACCCCAAAUUUUUUUUUUUCAUUUUACAUUUUUUUUGGUGUAACCAACUCCAAAAGGUUGGAAAAGAGUUCCUACAAAGGUUUUGGACAGUGAUUUUAACCCUAACGCCAAAAACCUUAAACCUUUCCCUAGUCCCAAAACCUAAUACCCGGGUAUUACCUUCAGGAAGCCCGAACACCCCAAAUAUUUUUUUUUCAUUUUACAUUUUUGUUGGUGUAACCAACUCCAAAAGGUUGGAAAAGAGUUCCUACAAAGGUUUUGGACAGUGAUUUUAACCCUAACGCCAAAAACCUUAAACCUUACCCUAGCCUUAAAAUCUAAUACCCGGGUAUUACCUUCAGGAAGCCCGAACACCCAUAAUAUUUUUUUCUUUAUUUUACAUUUUUGUUGGUGUAACCAACUCCAAAAGGUUGGAAAAGAGUUCCUACAAAGGUUUUGGACAGUGAUUUUAACCCUAACGCCAAAAACCUUAAAACUUACCAUAGCCCCAUAACCUAAUUCCCGGGUAUUACCUUCAGGAAGCCCGAACACCCCAAAUAUUUUUUUUUCAUUUUUCAUUUUUUUUGGUCUAACUAACUCCAAAAGGUUGGAAAAGAGUUCCUACAAAGGUUUUGGACAGUGAUUUUAACCCUAACGCCAAAAACCUUAAACCUUACCCUAGCCUUAAAAUCUAAUACCCGGGUAUUACAUUCAGGAACCCCGAAAACCCCAAAUAUUGUUUUUUAGUUUUUCAUUUUUUUUUGGUCUAACUAACUCCAAAAGGUUGGAAAAGAGUUCCUACAAAGGUUUUGGACAGUGAUUUUAACCCUAACGCCGAAAAACUUAAACCUUACCCUGGCAUUAAAAUCUAAUACCCGGGUAUUACAUUAAGGAAGCCUGAACACCCCAAAUAUUUUUUUUUCAUUUUUCUUUUUUUUUGGUCUAACUAACUCCAAAAGGUUGGAAAAGAGUUCCUACAAAGGAUUUGGACAGUGAUUUUAACCCUAACGCCAAAAACCUUAAACCUUUCCCUAGUCCCAAAACCGAAUCCCCGGGUAUUACUUCCAGGGAGCCCGAAAACCACCAAUAAUAUUUUUUUUCUUUUUUCAUAUUUUUUGGUCUAACUAACUCCAAAAGGUUGGAAAAGAGUUCCUACAAAGGUUUUGGACAGUGAUUUUAACCCUAAUGCCAAAAAACUUAAACCUUACCCUGGCCUUAAAAUCUAAUACCCGGGUAUUACAUUAAGGAAGCCCGGAAACCCCAAAUAUUUUUUUUUCAUUUUUCAUUUUUUUUUGGUCGAACUAACUCCAAAAGGUUGGAAAAGAGUUCCUACAAAGGUUUUGGACAGUGAUUUUAAACCUAACGCCAAAAACCUUAAACCUUACCAUAGCCCCAUAACCUAAUACCCGGGUAUUACUUUUAGGAAGCCUGAACACCCCAAAUAUUUUUUUUUCAUUUUUCAUUUUUUUUUGGUCGAACUAACUCCAAAAGGUUGGAAAAGAGUUCCUACAAAGGUUUUGGACAGUGAUUUUGACCCUAACGCCAAAAACCUUAAACCUUUCCCUAGUCCCAAAACCUAAUACCCGGGUAUUACUUUCAGGGAGCCCGAAAACCCCCAAUAAUUUUUUUUCUUUUUUCAUUUUUUUUGGUCUAACUAACUCCAAAAGGUUGGAAAAGAGUUCCUACAAAGGUUUUGGACAGUGAUUUUAACCCUAACGCCAAAAACCUUAAACCUUACCCUAGCCCCAUAACCUAAUACCCAGGUAUUACUUUUAGGAAGCCUGAACACCCCAAUAAUUUUUUUUCAUUUUUCUUUUUUUUUUUGGUCUAACUAACUCCAAAAGGUUGGAAAAGAGUUCCUACAAAGGUUUUGGACAGUGAUUUUAACCCUAAUGCCAAAAAACUUAAACCUUACCCUGGCCUUAAAAUCUAAUACCCGGGUAUUACAUUCAGGAAGCCCGGAAACCCCAAAUAUUUUUUUUUUCAUUUUUCAUUCUUUUUUUGGUCUAACCAACUCCAAAAGGUUGGAAAAGAGUUCCUACAAAGGUUUUGGACAGUGAUUUUAACCCUAAAGCCAAAAACCUUAAACCUUACCCUAGCCUUAAAAUCUAAUACCCUGGUAUUACCUUCAGGAAGCCUGAACACCCCAAAUAUUUUUUUCUUCAUUUUACAUUUUUGUUGGUGUAACCAACUCCAAAAGGUUGGAAAAGAGUUCCUACAAAGGUUUUGGACAGUGAUUUUAACCCUAACGCCAAAAAACUUAAACCUUACCAUAGCCCCAAAACCUAAUACCCGGGUAUUACUUUCAGGGAGCCCGAAAACCCCCAAUAAUAUUUUUUUCUUUUUUCAUAUUUUUUGGUCUAACUAACUCCAAAAGGUUGGAAAAGAGUUCCUACAAAGGUUUUGGACAGUGAUUUUAACCCUAACGCCAAAAAACUUAAACCUUUCCCUGGCCUUAAAAUCUAAUACCCGGGUAUUACAUUCAGGAAGCCCGUAAACCCCAAAUAUUUUUUUUUUCAUUUUUCUUUUUUUUUUUGGUCUAACUAACUCCAAAAGGUUGAAAAAGAGUUCCUACAAAGGUUUUGGACAGUGAUUUUAAACCUAACGCCAAAACGUUAAACCUUACCAUAGCCCCAUAACCUAAUACCCGGGUAUUAGUUUUAGGAAGCCUGAACACCCCAAAUAUUUUUUUUUCAUUUUUCUUUUUUUUUUU
This 12254-nucleotide long non-coding RNA is filed under the name Xyrichtys novacula (pearly razorfish). Lineage: Eukaryota; Metazoa; Chordata; Actinopteri; Labriformes; Labridae. The record is from RNAcentral.